AUACGUAGGGUGCAAGCGUUAAUCGGAAUUACUGGGCGUAAAGCGUGCGCAGGCGGUUUUGUAAGACAGAGGUGAAAUCCCCGGGCUCAACCUGGGAACUUCCUUUGUGACUGCAAGGCUAGAGUACGGCAGAGGGGGAGGGAAUUCCGCGUGUAGCAGUGAAAUGCGUAGAUAUGCGGAGGAACACCGAUGGCGAAGGCAAUCCCCUGGGCCUGUACUGACGCUCAUGCACGAAAGCGUGGGGAGCAAACAGGAUUAGAUACCCUGGUAGUCCACGCCCUAAACGAUGUCAACUGGUUGUUGGGUCUUCAUUGACUCAGUAACGAAGCUAACGCGUGAAGUUGACCGCCUGGGGAGUACGGUCGCAAGACUGAAACUCAAAGGAAUUGACGGGG
Molecule: ribosomal RNA, 395 nt
Filed under: uncultured bacterium
Lineage: Bacteria
Description: partial 16S ribosomal RNA
Rfam family: Bacterial small subunit ribosomal RNA
Source: RNAcentral